CGUAGGGUGCGAGCGUUAAUCGGAAUUACUGGGCGUAAAGCGUGCGCAGGCGGUUGUGCAAGACAGAUGUGAAAUCCCCGGGCUUAACCUGGGAAUUGCAUUUGUGACUGCACGGCUAGAGUGUGUCAGAGGGGGGUAGAAUUCCACGUGUAGCAGUGAAAUGCGUAGAUAUGUGGAGGAAUACCGAUGGCGAAGGCAGCCCCCUGGGAUAACACUGACGCUCAUGCACGAAAGCGUGGGGAGCAAACAGGAUUAGAUACCCUGGUAGUCCACGCCCUAAACGAUGUCUACUAGUUGUCGGGUCUUAAUUGACUUGGUAACGCAGCUAACGCGUGAAGUAGACCGCCUGGGGAGUACGGUCGCAAGAUUA
RNAcentral lists this ribosomal RNA (370 nucleotides) under uncultured organism. Its description in RNAcentral is "bacterial SSU rRNA". It matches the Rfam family "Bacterial small subunit ribosomal RNA", at positions 526 to 896 of the family's 1533-position model. The record is from RNAcentral.